This 718-nucleotide ribosomal RNA is filed under the name bacterium enrichment culture. RNAcentral describes it as "bacterial SSU rRNA". It matches the Rfam family "Bacterial small subunit ribosomal RNA", at positions 72 to 803 of the family's 1533-position model. The record is from RNAcentral.
AUUGAAGCUUGCUUUGAACUGUUUUAGUGGCGGACGGGUGAGUAACGCGUGAGGAACCUGCCUUUCAGAGGGGGAUAACGUCUGGAAACGGACGCUAAUACCGCAUGACAUUUUGUUGCCGCAUGGUGAUAAAAUCAAAGGAGCAAUCCGCUGAGAGAUGGACUCGCGUCCGAUUAGCCGGUUGGCGGGGUAACGGCCCACCAAAGCAACGAUCGGUAGCCGGGCUGAGAGGCUGAACGGCCACAUUGGGACUGAGACACGGCCCAGACUCCUACGGGAGGCAGCAGUGGGGGAUAUUGCACAAUGGAGGAAACUCUGAUGCAGCAACGCCGCGUGAGGGAAGAAGGUUUUCGGAUUGUAAACCUCUGUCCUCAGGGACGAUAAUGACGGUACCUGAGGAGGAAGCUCCGGCUAACUACGUGCCAGCAGCCGCGGUAAUACGUAGGGAGCAAGCGUUGUCCGGAUUUACUGGGUGUAAAGGGUGCGUAGGCGGCACUGCAAGUCAGGUGUGAAAACCAUGGGCUUAACUUAUGGAUUGCACUUGAAACUGUGGUGCUUGAGUGAAGUAGAGGCAGGCGGAAUUCCCGGUGUAGCGGUGAAAUGCGUAGAGAUCGGGAGGAACACCAGUGGCGAAGGCGGCCUGCUGGGCUUUAACUGACGCUGAGGCACGAAAGCAUGGGUAGCAAACAGGAUUAGAUACCCUGGUAGUCCAUGCCGU